GCCAAGGUAAAUUCAAUUUUCAAUUCUAGGGCACCUUUAAACUGGAUGUGUUGUUCCCCAAGCGAGCCGCACAAGUCCUGAAAAGUGAAGCCGAAGCAUCUCGAUCGCCCCCAGGUGGUUGGUCCCAGUAUAGGUCAUAAACCCCGCCCUCUCCAUGUAAUUUAAUGUGACAUGAGACAAGCUAAAAUCAAAUUACAUUUUAUGUAGUUUUUAUCACGCUGAUGUAAGUUCAUGUGUUUUUUUUUUGUUUGUUUUUUGUUUUUUUAAAUAAGUUUGGUUUUAGUUAUAUGAUGUGAUAAAAAUGGGGGUAUAACGUCAUGAUUGACAGCUUGAUUGACAGCUUCUCUGAGUGAAGUAGUCACUGAGGCACUAACAGACUUUUUUCGGGAGGAGAUUGGAGCUUUAACUUUAAUUUCUACAUUUUCAUAACUUUCAUAACGAUUUUGCGGGUAGUUCUUGAUGUGCACGCUGCACGCUGUGUGGCUCCACUUCAUGCUCACUACUGUGCAGACUCUACUACAGUAGUGAAAUAGGUUGUAAUUAGUCAAGACAUCUCCUAAAGGAGACCUGAUUCCUGUGGGGGGACUCGAUUUCUCAUGACAGCGGCUUCCCUUUUCUGCAAUGGAAGAGAGUGGAGGUGCAUCAUCCAUAUUUUUUAAAGUCUAUGGUUGUUCCAGAUAAGUUCAGGAAAAUUAAAAUGACAGUGUAUAAAAUGCAGCAUGACAUUAGAUGCAGUCCAUCAAAAAGACAAAUUAUUUGUAGCACUUUCCUGCAGAUUGUUUUUGAUCAGUACAUUGUGACAGGCUGCAGAUUUUAUGGAAGAGAAUUAAUUUAGUUUUGCAUAUGAAGAAAUGGUUGUGAAAAGCGAAAUCUGUUUGUAAAAGAAAAAUCACAUGCGUUAUAAUCUGUCAAAUCUCAUCAGACGUGUUCAACAAAGCACAAUCAGUGACUUCAGUGUGCAUGCGGUCGGGGGUCGCGACACGCUCCUGAAGCAGACCUGAUUGCAUCUAUUGAUAUGAGAAAGAACACGAGAAAAGAAAAGCAGAAAAGCAGUAGACAAAAAAACGGAAUCAAGAUUCAAAAUGAGAAGGGGGAAGAUGGGGAGGUGAGAAGGAAAAAUGGAGAGGGAGGGUUUAUUUUAGAGCAUGUUCACGUCUUGAACAGGUGCUGCUGCGUGCUGAGAGUGUCUGAGGACAGUUUGAGUAUCUGAUCUGAGUCAUGCACAGAUAUGACUCACAAACCACACCAGUCCUUAUCAACAUACAUAGAAAGAGAGAGAGAGAGGAGGGACGUCUGGGUGUCUUUUAACACCUUUCUUCAGUACCUGGUGACAGUCUCUUAUGUAAGCUUUGUAUUUCUGGUUUAAUUCAGACUCAUUGGAUGGCUAAAUUAGGUGGCCCAUGUGGUAAAAUGGCAUCUACUUCUAGAGCGCUCUGAGAAUGCUGAAGCUCUUUUAACAUUAUAACUGUAGAUCCAAGUGCCAAGCCUUACAAAAUGUUCAAUGGUACAGUAAUGGUAUCAGAUGGUAACAUUUUCGACUUUGACAUAUUUCAUACAGUAGCAUUUUAAUAUUUCUGCUCCUAUGAGUAAUUUGUUUUAUUCUGUUGAUCACCUUAAUGUUAAAGGUAGGGUAGGCAGGCAAUUUCAAAGAGGCAAGCAAUAGCAAGCUAGCUUUGAAACAGAUCCUCCAAGCUAGCUUUGAAAGAUCCCCCCUCCCUUCAGAGCAUUCUCCAAAGCCAUGCCUCCUCCAAAAUCAGACAGAGUCUGCAAAACGUCACGAGACACGGUGUUAAAUUACCUCGUGUCUCAAAGCACAUAACAUUAUAAUAGAGAGCUCUUACUUGUACAACCUGACUGCUGCAGAUUAAUUUCGGUGUUGAUAGUGUUGACAUAGAAAUGCAAAAAUCCAAGCCUGAGAACAUGGACAACUCUGCAUAGCCUCAUGGAAAGCGCUUGGGUGAUGUCUGCGCGAAGCUAUGGAAAUACAUAUGUUGACAGGACAUCAUAUCAUUCAGACCGAAUGCAAUGACUGGACGAAAUUUAGAUAUCGGUAUCAGCCAUUAAAAUCCUGUUGGCCACUACUGCAGUUAUAACUUACAUCAGGUUCUGUCUGGUGAAGAAUCACCUGGAGGGCCCUUAGAUCCAGGCUUCAUGAUGAGUCCUCGAGCCUGAAUGAUCUCCACCUCCAGCUGCCCGUUCCUCUCCAUCAGACCGAUCUCAACAUCUCCUGCAAAACAUCAACGCACAUUAAAGAGUGUCAAGUGACAUAUGGGUGAAUACAGGAACCAAAAAUGUAACAGCUGUGGUCAUGGCUAUGAUGGACUGCAAUUUGUGGAAUAGGCCGCAUGAAGAUUCUUCAAAACAUCUCCUUUUGUGUUCCACAGAGGAAAGGCAGUCAUACGGGUUUGGGACGACAUGAGGAGCUAAUAUAAGACUACAUCGUGCAAAACCCAGAACCUGUGGCUUUGAUGUGACACGCCGGACGGUGUCCAGAUCUGAAAUGAGUUUACAGUACAUCUACACAGAAUUCUGGAUUUCAUUCAGAAAUGGAGCCGGCAGAGAAAAGCUGUUCAUGCUGUCCUCUAUGGACUCGUGGCUCGCCUGCCGGACCGUACGACUGGGCAUCUCUACGGCCAGACCUGUCUCUGUACUCCUCUGAAUGCUCUUUAGCCUGCGGCCCUCUGGGUCUGAAACAAACAAAGAAAG
This is a long non-coding RNA of Megalobrama amblycephala (Wuchang bream), 2706 nucleotides long. RefSeq lists it as uncharacterized. The transcript has 6 exons. The record is from RefSeq and is a predicted model, not a curated record. Lineage: Eukaryota; Metazoa; Chordata; Actinopteri; Cypriniformes; Xenocyprididae.